UUGAGGCAAAGUGGUGUUCUACUUACAUAAUGAAAUGUAAGAAACUCUAUUGAUUAUACACGAACUGCUCCAUCAACAGUUAGAAACUCUUUUGUUCCCUUUUUUUCAAGAACGGAUGACGAGCAGCACUAAAACAAAAUGGUUUUUGUUAUGAAAAUUUUCUCAAAUUCUCUAAAGGAAAUCGGAGAUUUAUUGAAGUGAAGUAAGGUGGAAGAAGAGUAGUUCUUGGCAUAUAAGAUUGGGAAGCCCGGGAUCUAAUUUGUGGUUAGCUUGGAGCAGAUAAGUCCCAGAUUAUUUUGUAGGUAAAAGUAUUAAGCUAGGAUGAUUGGCAAUCGCCUGGGAUUGGCAAACUCCAUUUUCUUCCUGGAGCAGUGCCGAGUCAUUAUGGUUAUCAUAUGUGUGUAUGGGUAUGUCGGGGCCCUGUCCCGACUCAUAUGAUUCAGGUGUUUACUCUUAGAGACUUUGCAGACAGUGUCAUGUGGUUAGUAUGUUAAGAUGUCAUGUGUUGAGUAAAGCGACCAUGUAGUUAGUUUGACUUACUCGAUUUUUGAUUAAUUGAAUAUCGUUCGCAAAUUUCUAUGGUUUGACUUAAAGUACU
Lycium ferocissimum is the source of this 598-nucleotide long non-coding RNA. RefSeq lists it as uncharacterized. The transcript is spliced from 4 exons. Lineage: Eukaryota; Viridiplantae; Streptophyta; Magnoliopsida; Solanales; Solanaceae. The record is from RefSeq and is a predicted model, not a curated record.